Molecule: transfer RNA, 65 nt
Filed under: Cerambycidae sp. 9 KM-2017
Lineage: Eukaryota; Metazoa; Arthropoda; Insecta; Coleoptera; Cerambycidae
Description: tRNA-Asn
Source: RNAcentral
UUAAUUGAAACCAAAUUAGAGGUAUAUCACUGUUAAUGAUAAAAUUGAGAAACUCUCCAAUUAAG